GAUAAGAACGCAGCGAAAUGCGAUAAGUAAUGUGAAUUGCAGAAUUCCGUGAAUCAUCGAAUCUUUGAACGCACAUUGCGCCCCCUGGCAUUCCGGGGGGCAUGCCUGUUCGAGCGUCAUUACAACCCUCAAGCUCUGCUUGGUAUUGGGCUCUGCUGGGACCGGCAGGCCUUAAAAUCAGUGGCGGCGCCACUCGGCUUCAAGCGUAGUAAUUCUUCUCGCUUCGGAGACCCGGGUGCGUGCUAGCCAGCAACCCCCAACUUUCUUAGGUUGACCUCGGAUCAGGUAGGGAUACCCGCUGAACUUAAGCAUAUCAAUAAGCGGAGGA
This 328-nucleotide unclassified non-coding RNA is filed under the name soil metagenome. RNAcentral describes it as "partial contains 5.8S ribosomal RNA, internal transcribed spacer 2, and large subunit ribosomal RNA". The stretch from base 4 to 119 matches the Rfam family "5.8S ribosomal RNA", at positions 39 to 154 of the family's 154-position model. The record is from RNAcentral.